Chlorocebus sabaeus (green monkey) is the source of this 74-nucleotide transfer RNA. It matches the Rfam family "tRNA". From Rfam's summary of the family: Transfer RNA (tRNA) molecules are approximately 80 nucleotides in length. Lineage: Eukaryota; Metazoa; Chordata; Mammalia; Primates; Cercopithecidae. The record is from Rfam.
GCCGAAAUAGCUCAGUUGGGAGAGCGUUAGACUGAAGAUCUCAAAGGUCCCUGGCUCAAUCCCGGGUUUCGGCA